This 487-nucleotide ribosomal RNA is filed under the name Leucosporidium scottii. RNAcentral describes it as "eukaryotic LSU rRNA". The stretch from base 81 to 234 matches the Rfam family "5.8S ribosomal RNA". The record is from RNAcentral. Lineage: Eukaryota; Fungi; Basidiomycota; Microbotryomycetes; Leucosporidiales; Leucosporidiaceae.
GACUUGAGCAAUCGAGUUUCCUUCUGCGGCUCAUUUUAAAACACUAGUUAAAGUAUGUAACGAAAUAUCGAAACAAAAAAAACUUUCAACAACGGAUCUCUUGGCUUGCUCAUCGAUGAAGAACGCAGCGAAAUGUGAUAAGUAAUGUGAAUUGCAGAAUUCAGUGAAUCAUCGAAUCUUUGAACGCACCUUGCGCUCUCUGGUAUUCCGGAGAGCAUGUCUGUUUGAGUGUCAUGAACUCUUCAACCCACCAGUUUCUUGUAGACUGAUUGGUGUUUGGUUUCUGAGCGUUGCUGGUCUUCGGAUCUAGCUCGUUCGUAAUAUAUUAGCAUCUCUAAUUCGAACUCGGAUUGAUCAGUGUAAUAGACUAUUCGCUGAGGACACGCUCUUGUAGUGUGGCCGAAUGAGAUCUCAGUAGAAGCUUCCAACUACUUUAGUCAACUUUAGAUUAGACCUCAGAUCAGGCAGGAUUACCCGCUGAACUUAA